This 484-nucleotide ribosomal RNA is filed under the name uncultured bacterium. Its description in RNAcentral is "partial 16S ribosomal RNA". It matches the Rfam family "Bacterial small subunit ribosomal RNA", at positions 28 to 507 of the family's 1533-position model. The record is from RNAcentral.
AUUGAACGCUGGCGGCAUGCUUUACACAUGCAAGUCGAACGGCAGCGCGGGCUUCGGCCUGGCGGCGAGUGGCGAACGGGUGAGUAAUACAUCUGAACGUGCCCAGUCGUGGGGGAAAGCUUGGCGAAAGCCGGAUUAAUACCGCAUGCGACCUGAGGGUGAAAGCGGGGGAUCUUCGGACCUCUCGCCUUUGUGGCGGCGGAUGGCAGAUUAGCUAGUUGGUGGGGUAAAGGCCUACCAAGGCGACGAUCUGUAGCUGGUCUGAGAGGAAGACCCGCCACAUGGGGUGUGAGACAGGGCCCACACUCCGGCGGGGAGCAGCAGUGGGGAAUCUUGGACAAUGGGCGAAAGCCUGAUCCAGCGAUACGGGGUAUGUGAUGACGGCGUUAGGGUUGUAGAGCACUUUAGGUGGGAACAAAGAGGACUUCUCUCAUACCACGGUUUGAUGACGGUACCCGCAGAAGAAGCACCGGCUAACUACGUG